Long non-coding RNA from Athalia rosae (coleseed sawfly), 3609 nucleotides. RefSeq lists it as uncharacterized. The transcript has 7 exons. The record is from RefSeq and is a predicted model, not a curated record. NCBI's taxonomy places the organism in Eukaryota, Metazoa, Arthropoda, Insecta, Hymenoptera, Athaliidae.
GAUAAUUAAUAUUUAUGAAUGAUACAAAAAGAGUGUGGAAUGCAGCUUGGUGUGUCAGAUGGGUGUGUUAAUUAUAAAUAUAUCAAAAUCAAAUAUAUUGCACCUUCUCUAAACGAGAUAAGAUAGUGUGGUGAUACUGUACAAGAUAUCUACUGAUAUUUCUGAAGAAAAGUUGGCUUACCAUGAUUGAGUUCAGAAGCAAAACAAACUGGAUAAACGACAAGCGCUAUUAAGAGGGAAGCCACUGAAAAAAGAUUUUAGCCGCAGUCGCUAUCGCAACGAGACUCGAGGGUGCGCAAAUAGACCCACACAAUGUGUACCGUCUAUGCAGCAAGGGUAGAAAAGAACUUGAAACGGAUUGCAGUAGAUUUAACGUUAUGAUUUGAAGAGAAUACUGGUCUAAAAUGGGGACUAUACUGGCUGCAUUAUAUUCCAUGAGAUGAAUCUUCAAAUGCAUGCAGAUGAGAAAUAUCUUAAGCCAUUGUGUGAUUCAAAAAGUUUUCAAGAAAUUUUAUCCAUCAGAUCAGUUUAACAAUCACACAAUCUAUUUAAAAAUUAUUUAGAUAAAUAAGAUUUGAAUGAAAGUAAAGUUGCUGCUACUUGAACAACUCUGUGCUUCUUCUCAAUAUUUAAUGCCUAGUCACACUUUAAAAAAUUGCCAUAUCUCUAAUUGUCAGAAUACUAAAUUAGUACGCUUAUCUUAUUAUUGCAUGGUACUACUACAUAAGUUCUAUUAGCUAGUGCAUUAGCAGUGAGAUUCUAAAAAGAUAAGUGUCUAGACAUUGGUAGGCAGAAUCCAGACUGUCAGAUGAUGUUCGAUAUAGAUCGUUAAAUGUUACAGUAUUUCUAGCUCCUGUAAAAUACAUGGACAUAAUAUGCCACUUGUUGCUGAAGAUCCUUUUAUUAAAGAGGCAAGAUAUUGUCAAGGACAGUGUGGAAUAAAAUUGUUUAAAAUUAAAUCAGAAUUCAAAAUUGGAAAUACUUUUCUCUUACCUUCAAUGGUCUGGUGAUGGUCACAGUCUCGAUUGUAGUUGUUUGAGCCAUUGUGUCAGGUUGCAAGGUAUUCUGCAUCAUAAGUGAAUGACGAAUUUAUACAUUUGCAAAUUCUUUCAAUAGUAAAGGCAGUCAUAAAACAGCAGCCAUUAAUGUACAUAGAAAGAAACUUAAUAAAAUAAAAGACGAAGUAUCAUGAAAAAAAAUUACAAAAUUACAAAAUCAAAAAUUCUAGAAUUGGAAAAUUAAGAAUCGAGCCAGUUGUGAAGUAUCGUUCAAACGUAAACGAAAGGCAAGAAAAAGUGACAGAUCAAAGAAGAAUUUGAAGAUUCGAACAAUAGAACACAACAAUGGUAGCUGUAAUAUCGAACUCUAAAAACUUUCAACAGAAGUUUUACAUUGAAAAAGUAACUUGGUUUGAACACAAAUGUGAAUAGGCAAUGCAGUUAACGCAUUUUACACUUACGCGGCGCGUACUUGGCCACUUGGACAAUACGGGGACAGUUAAAACUCACGUAAUCAUUAAUCACAAGCAAAUAUUAGUCACUGGCCUGAAUAAUUGUCAAUGAUAAUUAGGAUGAUUAUUUCGUAUCCAUUACUAACCGGGCGUAGGUGGGAAAAUAUUAAGAAUAACAACUUAAAUAUUCGAGGUUUCGUAUGACACUUUCGCGAAACUAUUUAGAUAUGACAUUACAAAACACAAAGAGAAAAAGAAAAAGUAAACAUCUGAGCUCUCUCAAAUGUUAAUGGCGUGCAUACUGCAUAUAGUAAUAUAGUAAGUGCGUAACCACGAACCAACAAGUACACUGAUUUUCCAGCAACGAACUUCUAGCGUAGAUCCGAUGCACUCCGCGAAUCCACAGGUAUAUUAAAUGGCCACUCUAUCUAACUAUUCAUGGUCGAGAAGAAAUCGUUUGAGGAACACUAAGGAAACACUCACUUGAGCCCACUCUUGAAUCUUCAUAGCCAACAGGAAAUGCUUCCAUUUUACUGUUGGAGAAUCAGUAGCACAGUAACCUCGUGUGUUCGUGUCGUUGAUAUCUUCGUACCGAAUUCGUACGUUGUGAAUAUGAGGAAUCGGAAAACAUCAUACUCUAGGUGCUCUCUGAAAUUUUUUGGAGCAGGCAGUAGACUUUUGAAGAGGUGGUCUAUCUGCGGAGGAUGAAUUUUAAGAUCAAAGCUUAGAACCUCUAAGAUGAGCUUUAUUUCCAAAGCUGUUGUAAGGCUGGGUAACCUAUCCAAUGCAACUAAGAAACCCUUUGUUGUAACUCAUCAAAUCCCCUCUUCAUUAUAAUCUAUUCUAUACUUGCACAGUAUAGAAAAAUUGAGGUAGAGAUAGAAGAUGUGAAUCUGCAGCAAUAGCAAGGAAGCGUCGUGAUCUGGGCUGGAGACUAGCAUGAUAAAAUUUAUAACUAGAAAUCUAUACAACUACAAAGGGAAGAGCUAAAUUCUGCAUUUAAAUCGCAAGACAUUACCUCAAAAUUACAAACUCUGUACUACUUAUUAUGAAAAUGAAAAGACGUUGGGAACGAAUACUUAUUCUUAUUCAUUCAGAUUUGCCCCCUUCAUCUAAACGCAGGUCUGCCAUUGACUGAUUUUGUGUGGUCGAUAAAUUUCCUGUGAAAUCCCUCAACAAAAUCCUCCUAUGUUAUCUCAUUUUCAUGAAACCCAGUCUGAAAUUUCGAGAACAGAUGUUUUAUGACUGAUACGAUACAUAAUCGUUCAAAUUUUUAUCGAAUUACAAUCAUUCGUGACCACCAGUAAAUGAUUCUCGAAGGAAUAAUGCUAUAUUUAUUUAAAUAAUAAAUAUACAUGAUCAAGUAUCAGUGCACUACCGGUAUUAACUACUUAAACUAAUAUACAUAUAAAUAGAAAGAUCUUUUUCUUUUUCUUUGUAUAUGCAUUCUAAAGAAAGUUGUGUACAAAAUACAAACAUGUUUAGCUAAACAAUAUUGUAUAAAAUUGGCCUUGAUGUACAAGAUCAUAUAUAUUAUAUAUGUACAUACAUCAUUCUUAAACUAAUUUGUGUCAGCAAAUAGCAAACUUAACGAUAUUUGUCGCCAAGAAGUACAAUACGAUAGAUCACUGGGUAACUGACAUAAAUUUCAAACCAUUAUCACAACAAAUGAUAGACAAUCUUGUUUUUGCUUAUUUUAAGUUUUGAAUUAUAUUUACGUAUGUUCCUUUAACAUCAGAGAAUCCUAGUCUCUUCGCUUUGUAUGCAACAAUAAUUACGCUAGCGGUAUAAUUUCGAGUCAAAAAUAAUUUGAUGCGCUAACAUUUAGAUAAAAUAUAAAAAGUGGGAAAACAUAUCACUAUGCACAUUUUAACAUUAUCAGAUCUAUUUUAACAUCCUUAAUAUUUGUGUAAUAUUACAUACAUAGAUAGAGUUAUAGGUGGUACUACAAACGUAUAAAAUGCUCCAAUUCUGGCCAUCGUAAUAUAAAUUCAACAGACUUUGCAUCUUUGUUUCAUCAGUGUUUGAAAUAAGAACAUUGUUAUCCAAUUCAGAGCGUAAAUAUUACUUUACUUAAAAGUAGGCAUUAUUAGAGAAGCUUUUCUUGCAAAAUCUGAACAAAAAAUGAAAAAAAAAAAGAAAAGAAAAACAACCAAUUA